AUGAACGCUGGCGGCGUGCCUAAUACCUGCAAGUCGAGCGAACGGACGAGAAGCUUGCUUCUCUGAUGUUAGCGGCGGACGGGUGAGUAACACGUGGAUAACCUACCUAUAAGACUGGGAUAACUUCGGGAAACCGGAGCUAAUACCGGAUGAUAUUUUGAACCGCAUGGUUCAAAAGUGAAAGACGGUCUUGCUGUCACUUAUAGAUGGAUCCGCGCUGCAUUAGCUAGUUGGUAAGGUAACGGCUUACCAAGGCAACGAUGCAUAGCCGACCUGAGAGGGUGAUCGGCCACACUGGAACUGAGACACGGUCCAGACUCCUACGGGAGGCAGCAGUAGGGAAUCUUCCGCAAUGUGCGAAAGCCUGACGGGGCAACGCCGCGUGAGUGAUGAAGGUCUUCGGAUCGUAAAACUCUGUUAUUAGGGAAGAACAUAUGUGUAAGUAACUGUGCACAUCUUGACGGUACCUAAUCAGAAAGCCACGGCUAACUACGUG
Molecule: ribosomal RNA, 496 nt
Filed under: uncultured bacterium
Lineage: Bacteria
Description: partial 16S ribosomal RNA
Rfam family: Bacterial small subunit ribosomal RNA
Source: RNAcentral